GAUGAACGCUGGCGGCGUGCCUAAUACAUGCAAGUCGAGCGAACGGACGAGAAGCUUGCUUCUCUGAUGUUAGCGGCGGACGGGUGAGUAACACGUGGAUAACCUACCUAUAAGACUGGGAUAACUUCGGGAAACCGGAGCUAAUACCGGAUAAUAUUUUGAACCGCAUGGUUCAAAAGUGAAAGACGGUCUUGCUGUCACUUAUAGAUGGAUCCGCGCUGCAUUAGCUAGUUGGUAAGGUAACGGCUUACCAAGGCAACGAUGCAUAGCCGACCUGGGAGGGUGAUCGGCCACACUGGAACUGAGACACGGUCCAGACUCCUACGGGAGGCAGCAGUAGGGAAUCUUCCGCAAUGGGCGAAAGCCUGACGGAGCAACGCCGCGUGAGUGAUGAAGGUCUUCGGAUCGUAAAACUCUGUUAUUAGGGAAGAACAUAUGUGUAAGUAACUGUGCACAUCUUGACGGUACCUAAUCAGAAAGCCACGGCUAACUACGUGCCAGCAGCCGCGGUAAUACGUAGGUGGCAAGCGUUAUCCGGAAUUAUUGGGCGUAAAGCGCGCGUAGCGGUUUUUUAAGUCUGAUGUGAAAGCCCACGGCCCAACCGUGGAGGGUCAUUGGAAACUGGAAAACUUGAGUGCAGAAGAGGAAAGUGGAAUUCCAUGUGUAGCGGUGAAAUGCGCAGAGAUAUGGAGGAACACCAGUGGCGAAGGCGACUUUCUGGUCUGUAACUGACGCUGAUGUGCGAAAGCGUGGGGAUCAAACAGGAUUAGAUACCCUGGUAGUCCACGCCGUAAACGAUGAGUGCUAAGUGUUAGGGGGUUUCCGCCCCUUAGUGCUGCAGCUAACGCAUUAAGCACUCCGCCUGGGGAGUACGACCGCAAGGUUGAAACUCAAAGGAAUUGACGGGGACCCGCACGAGCGGUGGAGCAUGUGGUUUAAUUCGAAGCAACGCGAAGAACCUUACCAAAUCUUGACAUCCUUUGACAACUCUAGAGAUAGAGCCUUCCCCUUCGGGGGACAAAGUGACAGGUGGUGCAUGGUUGUCGUCAGCUCGUGUCGUGAGAUGUUGGGUUAAGUCCCGCAACGAGCGCAACCCUUAAGCUUAGUUGCCAUCAUUAAGUUGGGCACUCUAAGUUGACUGCCGGUGACAAACCGGAGGAAGGUGGGGAUGACGUCAAAUCAUCAUGCCCCUUAUGAUUUGGGCUACACACGUGCUACAAUGGACAAUACAAAGGGCAGCGAAACCGCGAGGUCAAGCAAAUCCCAUAUAGUUGUUCUCAGUUCGGAUUGUAGUCUGCAACUCGACUACAUGAAGCUGGAAUCGCUAGUAAUCGUAGAUCAGCAUGCUACGGUGAAUACGUUCCCGGGUCU
This 1371-nucleotide ribosomal RNA is filed under the name uncultured bacterium. RNAcentral describes it as "bacterial SSU rRNA". It matches the Rfam family "Bacterial small subunit ribosomal RNA", at positions 28 to 1381 of the family's 1533-position model. The record is from RNAcentral.